GUGAAAUUGUUGAAAGGGAAGCGCUUGCAACCAGACCUGCCUGCAGUUGCUCAUCCGGGCUUUUGCCCGGUGCACUCUUCUGCUGUCAGGCCAGCAUCGGUUCGGGCGGUCGGAUAAAGGCUUCGGGAAUGUAGCUCCUCUCGAGGAGUGUUAUAGCCCGUUGCGAAAUGCGGCCAGCCUGAACUGAGGUCCGCGCUUCGGCUAGGAUGCUGGCGUAAUGGUUGUAAGCGGCCCGUCUUGAAACACGGACCAAGGAGUCUAACAUCUGUGCGAGUGUUUGGGUGUCAAACCCGUACGCGUAAUGAAAGUGAACGGAGGCGGGAACCCCUCGGGGUGCACCGUCGACCGAUCCUGAUGUCUUCGGAUGGAUUUGAGUAAGAGCAUAGCUGUUGGGACCCGAAAGAUGGUGAACUAUGCCUGAAUAGGGUGAAGCCAGAGGAAACUCUGGUGGAGGCUCGCAGCGGUUCUGACGUGCAAAUCGAUCGUCAAAUUUGGGCAUAGGGGCGAAAGACUAAUCGAACUAUCUAGUAGCUGGUUCCUGCCGAAGUUUCCCUCAGGAUAGCAGUAACGUUUUCAGUUUUAUGAGGUAAAGCGAAUGAUUAGAGGCCUGGGGGUUGAAACAACCUUCACCUAUUCUCAAACUUUAAAUAUGUAAGAAGUCCUUGUUGCUUAGUUGAACGUGGACAUUUGAAUGUAUCGUUACUAGUGGGCCAUUUUUGGUAAGCAGAACUGGCGAUGCGGGAUGAACCGAACGCGGAGUUAAGGUGCCGGAAUGCACGCUCAUCAGACACCACAAAAG
RNAcentral lists this ribosomal RNA (799 nucleotides) under uncultured Ascomycota. RNAcentral describes it as "LSU rRNA". It matches the Rfam family "Eukaryotic large subunit ribosomal RNA", at positions 399 to 1220 of the family's 3401-position model. The record is from RNAcentral. Lineage: Eukaryota; Fungi; Ascomycota.